UACUGGGCGUAAAGCGAGCGCAGACGGUUACUUAAGCAGGAUGUGAAAUCCCCGGGCUCAACCUGGGAACUGCGUUCUGAACUGGGUGACUAGAGUGUGUCAGAGGGAGGUAGAAUUCCACGUGUAGCAGUGAAAUGCGUAGAGAUGUGGAGGAAUACCGAAGGCGAAGGCAGCCCCUUGGGAAUGUACUGACGCUCAUGUGCGAAAGCGUGGGGAGCAAACAGGAUUAGAUACCCUGGUAGUCCACGCUGUAAACGAUGUCGAUUUGGGGGUUGAACUUUAAGUUUGGCGCCCGUAGCUAACGUGAUAAAUCGACCGCCUGGGGAGUACGGCCGCAAGGUUAAAACUCAAAUGAAUUGACGGGGGCCCGCACAAGCGGUGGAGCAUGUGGUUUAAUUCGAUGCAACGCGAAGAACCUUACCUGGUCUUGACAUAGUGAGAAUCCUACAGAGAUGUGGGAGUGCCUUCGGGAAUUCACAUACAGGUGCUGCAUGGCUGUCGUCAGCUCGUGUCGUGA
This 517-nucleotide ribosomal RNA is filed under the name uncultured bacterium. RNAcentral's name for it is "bacterial SSU rRNA". It matches the Rfam family "Bacterial small subunit ribosomal RNA", at positions 552 to 1070 of the family's 1533-position model. The record is from RNAcentral.